This 72-nucleotide transfer RNA is filed under the name Aestuariibacter sp. RNAcentral's name for it is "tRNA-Gly". It matches the Rfam family "tRNA". Rfam says of the family: Transfer RNA (tRNA) molecules are approximately 80 nucleotides in length. Their secondary structure includes four short double-helical elements and three loops (D, anti-codon, and T loops). Further hydrogen bonds mediate the characteristic L-shaped molecular structure. tRNAs have two regions of fundamental functional importance: the anti-codon, which is responsible for specific mRNA codon recognition, and the 3' end, to which the tRNAs corresponding amino acid is attached (by aminoacyl-tRNA synthetases). tRNAs cope with the degeneracy of the genetic code in two manners: having more than one tRNA (with a specific anti-codon) for a particular amino acid; and 'wobble' base-pairing, i.e. permitting non-standard base-pairing at the 3rd anti-codon position. The record is from RNAcentral. Lineage: Bacteria; Pseudomonadati; Pseudomonadota; Gammaproteobacteria; Alteromonadales; Alteromonadaceae. RNAcentral also lists the same sequence under 1 other name.
GCGUCAUUAGUUCAGUGGUUAGAAUACGCCGUUGCCAACGGUGUGGCCCGGGUUCGAUUCCCGGAUGACGCA